Molecule: ribosomal RNA, 468 nt
Filed under: uncultured bacterium
Lineage: Bacteria
Description: partial 16S ribosomal RNA
Rfam family: Bacterial small subunit ribosomal RNA
Source: RNAcentral
GACGAACGCUGGCGGCGUGCUUAACACAUGCAAGUCGAACGGAAAGGCCCUGCUUUUGUGGGGUGCUCGAGUGGCGAACGGGUGAGUAACACGUGAGUAACCUGCCCUUGACUUUGGGAUAACUUCAGGAAACUGGGGCUAAUACCGGAUAGGAGCUCCUGCUGCAUGGUGGGGGUUGGAAAGUUUCGGCGGUUGGGGAUGGACUCGCGGCUUAUCAGCUUGUUGGUGGGGUAGUGGCUUACCAAGGCUUUGACGGGUAGCCGGCCUGAGAGGGUGACCGGACACAUUGGGAAGGAGGUACGGGCGAGAGUCAGACGGGAGGAAGCAGGGGGGAAUAGGGCAGACGGGGCGGAAGCCUGAGGCAGCAACGCCGCGUGCGGGAGGACGGCCGGCGGGUGGGAAAAAGCUGGCGCCUGUGACGAAGAGGGAGGGAAGGGAAUGGGUAAAGAAGCACGGGCGAACUAAGUG